RNAcentral lists this ribosomal RNA (510 nucleotides) under uncultured bacterium. Its description in RNAcentral is "bacterial SSU rRNA". It matches the Rfam family "Bacterial small subunit ribosomal RNA", at positions 15 to 518 of the family's 1533-position model. The record is from RNAcentral.
GAUUAUGGCUCAGGAUGAACGCUAGCUACAGGCUUAACACAUGCAAGUCGAGGGGCAGCAUUGGAGUAGCAAUACUCAGAUGGCGACCGGCGCACGGGUGAGUAACACGUAUCCAACCUGCCGCUUACUCGGGGAUAGCCUUUCGAAAGAAAGAUUAAUACCCGAUGGUAUAAAGAGUUCGCAUGUUCUCUUUAUUAAAGAAUUUCGGUAAGCGAUGGGGAUGCGUUCCAUUAGAUUGUUGGCGGGGUAACGGCCCACCAAGUCUACGAUGGAUAGGGGUUCUGAGAGGAAGGUCCCCCACAUUGGAACUGAGACACGGUCCAAACUCCUACGGGAGGCAGCAGUGAGGAAUAUUGGUCAAUGGACGAGAGUCUGAACCAGCCAAGUAGCGUGAAGGAUGACUGCCCUAUGGGUUGUAAACUUCUUCUAUAAGGGAAUAAAGUGAGGGACGUGUCCCUUUUUGUAUGUACCUUAUGAAUAAGGAUCGGCUAACUCCGUGCCAGCAGCAGC